RNAcentral lists this ribosomal RNA (539 nucleotides) under uncultured bacterium. Its description in RNAcentral is "bacterial SSU rRNA". It matches the Rfam family "Bacterial small subunit ribosomal RNA", at positions 356 to 896 of the family's 1533-position model. The record is from RNAcentral.
GAGGAAUAUUGGUCAAUGGACGGAAGUCUGAACCAGCCAAGUAGCGUGCAGGAUGACGGCCCUCCGGGUUGUAAACUGCUUUUAUGUGGGAAUAAAGUGGCGCACGUGUGCGCCAUUGCAUGUACCUCAUGAAUAAGGACCGGCUAAUUCCGUGCCAGCAGCCGCGGUAAUACGGAAGGUCCGGGCGUUAUCCGGAUUUAUUGGGUUUAAAGGGAGUGUAGGCGGUCUGUUAAGCGUGUUGUGAAAUUUAGGUGCUCAACAUUUAACUUGCAGCGCGAACUGUCAGACUUGAGUACACGCAGCGCAGGCGGAAUUCAUGGUGUAGCGGUGAAAUGCUUAGAUAUCAUGAGGAACUCCGAUCGCGAAGGCAGCCUGCGGGAGUGUUACUGACGCUUAAGCUCGAAGGUGCGGGUAUCGAACAGGAUUAGAUACCCUGGUAGUCCGCACUGUAAACGAUGGAUGCCCGCCGUUGGCGCCCUGCGCUUGCGGCCAAGCGAAAGCAUUAAGCAUCCCACCUGGGGAGUACGCCGGCAACGGUG